This is a long non-coding RNA of Gallus gallus (chicken), 421 nucleotides long. RefSeq lists it as uncharacterized. The record is from RefSeq and is a predicted model, not a curated record. NCBI's taxonomy places the organism in Eukaryota, Metazoa, Chordata, Aves, Galliformes, Phasianidae. The transcript is spliced from 3 exons.
UUUUGUGAUCGUAACUCAGAGUAUCUGAGGGCUUGUGUUAUUUGUGGUGGUCUGUUCCCCCUUCUACUGCUGACUCCUCCUUUCUUUCCUGAAAUAGUUGAUAUUGCUGGUGCUUAUUACUGGACGCUAUUAGAGAGAGGAUAACUGCACUGUGGAAGACAAAUCUUCUCCAUGUUCAAAAUUGCAAGGCAGAUGGUUUUGGUCAGCUGUUGAGAAUACUCUCUGGGUGAACAGGUGGUUGCAUGCUUCCCAGAAAGGUGGUUCCAAAAUCAUGGAAGUGGGUCAACUCUCCCCGAGUCAGUGAACUUCUGCCAGCAUUUGCUUCAGUGAGCACGUCUGCUUCACAGGAGUAACCACAGGUAACAAACAACAUGUUCUUUGGGAUGCAGCACUUGCUCAUAUUCUUUAUGUUAGUAUUUCU